This 404-nucleotide ribosomal RNA is filed under the name uncultured prokaryote. RNAcentral's name for it is "bacterial SSU rRNA". It matches the Rfam family "Bacterial small subunit ribosomal RNA", at positions 355 to 774 of the family's 1533-position model. The record is from RNAcentral.
UGGGGAAUUUUACGCAAUGGGCGAAAGCCUGACCCAGCAACGCCGCGUGAGGGAAGAAGGUUUUCGGAUCGUAAACCUCUGUCCUUGGUGAAGAGUAAGAGACGGUAGCCAAGGAGGAAGCCCCGGCUAACUACGUGCCAGCAGCCGCGGUAAUACGUAGGGGGCGAGCGUUGUCCGGAAUGAUUGGGCGUAAAGGGCGCGUAGGCGGCCUGUUAAGUCUGGAGUGAAAUUCCUGCUUUCAAGGUAGGAAGUGCUUUGGAAACUGGCGGGCUGGAGUGCAGGAGAGGUUAGCGGAAUUCCCGGUGUAGCGGUGAAAUGCGUAGAGAUCGGGAGGAACACCAGUGGCGAAGGCGUCUAACUGGACUGUAACUGACGCUGAGGCGCGAAAGUGUUGGGAGCAAACA